AGUGAACGCUGGCGGUAGGCCUAACACAUGCAAGUCGAACGGCAGCACAGGAGAGCUUGCUCUCUGGGUGGCGAGUGGCGGACGGGUGAGGAAUACAUCGGAAUCUACUCUGUCGUGGGGGAUAACGUAGGGAAACUUACGCUAAUACCGCAUACGACCUACGGGUGAAAGCAGGGGAUCUUCGGACCCUGCGCGAUUGAAUGAGCCGAUGUCGGAUUAGCAAGUUUGCGGGGUAAAGGCCCACCAAGGCGACGAUCCGUAGCUGGUCUGAUAGGAUGAUCAGCCACACUGGAACUGAGACACGGUCCAGACUCCUACGGGAGGCAGCAGUGGGGGAUAUUGGACAAUGGGCGCAAGCCUGAUCCAGCCAUACCGCGUGGGUGAAGAAGGCCUUCGGGUUGUAAAGCCCUUUUGUUGGGAAAGAAAUCCAGCUGGCUAAUACCCGGUUGGGAUGACGGUACCCAAAGAAUAAGCACCGGCUAACUUCGUGCCAGCCGCCGCCGUAA
Molecule: ribosomal RNA, 506 nt
Filed under: uncultured bacterium
Lineage: Bacteria
Description: partial 16S ribosomal RNA
Rfam family: Bacterial small subunit ribosomal RNA
Source: RNAcentral